UCGGGAGUUGAUCCAGUUGCGGGUGCGCGUCGUCGUUUUGCGAGCGUCGGAACGUCGCCGCUACCGCGAGUGUUUGUAUCCGUCGCAUUCCGUUUUCUCCGUUGGUUGAGAAGAGAGGAGAGAAGAGUAGAGGCACGUGCUAACCUUGUCGUUGACCCAAACGAUUAUUCGCCAAGCCUUCGGCCAUCGGCGAAACUACCGAGGGACGUGUUUGCCUUUAGCGCUGGAUUUAACCGAACAUAACCUAGAACCCGUAGCACAAAGAGAGUCGGUACCUCGACGCGAGGGUCGGAUCUCCGUUCUCAUCUCUCAUUUUUUUCUCAAGAAGAGAGCGAGAUCGAGAGAGUCUCGUCGACCGGUGAAUUCUACGUAUGUAGACGUCGAAACUCUGCGUCAUCUCGACCACGUGACAACGGGCCGACUGUCAUUUGUCAACCGUUGUCAAAAUCCUCGCAUCCACCCUCCAGAUUGCAACAGGGGCAGGCCGAGAGAGAUAUCUACGAGUAAUCUGUCUCUUGGCAAGAGCGGGUUACAAGGACGGGAAUGAUCCUGGCUGGAAGUUGACGAUAACCAGUCUCAGCCGAGUCCUUCUUCCGGAAGCCUUAGCUCGGUCAGCGGCACGACUAUCGUCGCCCUUGCGGACCGCAGACGCGUAAAGCGUGGUGGCGGGAAUUGUGCGAGUGAAAGGAGAUGAAAGAUAAAGGGGAAAUCACGUCGUAAAAACCGCGAAGCCCUACGUCUCGCCUAAUUGACAGGGCGAGGGGAAAAGGCGAGGCUUCAGCCGUCCUCGCUAAGGAAAGAUCGCGAAUUUACGGCCGAGGGCCAAAUUCGAUCGAGCUAACGAGUAACGGCUUUCGCCUAAACAGGGCCGAAAAGGACCCUUAAAUUUCGAGCGAGAGGAAUUUUCUCACCCGAUUCGAAAAAGGGAGGAAACGCGUCUUUGGGUGGUAUUUUUUUUUUUUUUUUUGGAAGAGGAAGAAAUUGGGGGACGAACAGAAAGAAAGAUACUUUUCUCCUGAGCCGAGAGACGUCGAAACAGACACGAAGGCCCUGAUUCGAACUUACAUGCCAACCGGAUGGGGGAGGACGAGCUAAUAUCGUUCUCUUCGCUGGUUUGAUUGAUGAUCGCCGGAGAAAAGUCGCCGCGGCGAAACAGCUCCGACUUCCGGUGCAGCCAGUAACGCGUCUCACACCUGUCAAAAGAGUUCCUCGAUACCGGAAGUGAUAAUCAUGAAAGUUGAGCUGCCGAUGCGGCCUGGAUCAGGAUGCGAAAUUCCUCGAUGAUCUGACCUUGGGAUAAACGAGUUUUUCGCACAAAUGGGUUAAACGAUACGCGAGAAGACCGCGAUGGACGACGCCACGCUCAUUUACGUUUUGCAAAAUGGCGAUCGGGGCGGCGGAGUUGAACAGGAAGUACAAAGAGUCAAAACGGAUCACGGAAUCCUCUCGUUUUUAUUGUCGAGAAAUCUUAUGCUUUCCUUCGUCUUUAUCGGGUCUGAUUUAUCAGUGCAAAAGUUAUGAUAAUUCACGUGCUGCUGCUGAAAAAAAUUGUUGUCAUUGUGGAUCGUGGAUACAUGAUAGUAGAGAAGAAAUAUUGAGGAUACUCUCGCGUAUAACGUGCUGGAAAAUUAAUCGGAACUAGUUAGAUCAAUUUUUAUACCGAUAAAUUGAAGGUGUGCAUCAUUUUUGUCGGGAUUAUCAGUCGACUUAUUGCAUUUUUAUACUUUUUAUUUAAAUAAUUUUUAUGGAAACUUUUCGUUUUCUAUUACUUUACACUCAUAACGAAACGACCAUACGAAAUUCUUUAUUUUUCGAUUGUGUUCUCGAUUCGACGUACGCUCGCUGUUUAAUGUUUAUUCUCUGUUUUACCACAUUUUAUUAACUUCUUUUGAUCUGGUAUUUUUUAUCAAAGAGAAGUGGGUCGCGUUGGGGAGAAACAAGCUGCGUAGAAUUUUGUUUGUAUCCAUUAGCUUCUACCAUAUAUGAUACUGUACGCAAAUUCAGUUCGUGGCGCAGCGAUAGUCGAGAAUUUUUUGGUUUAUAUUUUUUGGGAAUGAGAAAUAUUGAGAUUAUUUUCAAAAAGUGUGAAUAAUCAAAUAAGCAAAGAAGGCGUUUUCGCAUAAAUACAAAUUCGUUCAAUUUUACUGAACACGAGGUUUAAUCGGGACUUUUAUAAAAUAACACAUUAAUCAAUUCCAAAAUUGAGAAUCAAUGAGAUUGAAUCCAGCCAAAGUAUCAUUAAAUAAUUACCAGUGCAGUGGGAUAUCAAAAAGUGUUGUCUGCGCUAUCAGAAGGUAUCUGUGUACCUGUAACGUCCGCGAGUGUUCAGUGCUUAAAUUUUAGUAACGACAAAAAAUAAAUAAAUAAAUAAAUAGACAAAUAAGUUGAUAAAUAUCUAUAAAUAUUCGGUGUAGAGGAAAAAGAAGAAAACAUCAGUAUUUGGCUCGUAAAACACUCUCUUUUUUUCGCAACUCACUCUUUUGUAAAUCAAACCGUCGUGAAAAUUAUUUUUUAAACAAAAAUAAACACAGUUUCAAUAUAUUGUACGCAUGUACGAAUAUUUAAUUAUCCAUCGUCGCAUCUGGCGCCUGUAAAUAUAUUGCCUGUAUGUAUAACUACCUAUAUAAUAUAUAUUUAACGAGAGAACGAAGAUAAAUAAUCUGCUCACGUACAUGAUAUCAAAUUAAAAGAAACGAGUGUGUAAUAAUUUAUUAGUAAAUUGUUAAUUCGCGAUGGUUGUAAUCUCGGGUGGAGACGCCGGCAUUCAAUUGCUAGGCUCUCUGGUACCGCGUUGCGUUGUUAAACAAACAACCGUGAAACGAUGCGUCGCCGCACUUCUCCUCGUCUCCAUCUUCAGCAUCUUUUAUUACACCUACUAUGUGAUCAGCAGUCCAUUUGCCAGCCUGAUUCACCGGGACACGAGACCCGAGCCCGCCAUAAGAUGUUCGACGCUUCGAGGGGCGACGAGAUUGCCGACAGCUCCGGAUCAUCGUAGCGAAGCUCGACUACGAAUCGACCCUAAGGUUCUCGUCUUCGUUGAAACAUUGUACUCGAAGUUGGGCCGAGAAAUCGAAGACCUACUCGUUUAUAACAGGAUAAAGUACAAGGUUGAGGUCGCCGGAAAGUCCCUGCCGGUGCUGACCAACCUCGACAAGGGCCGCUACGGUGUUCUAGUCUUUGAAAAUUUAAACAAGUAUCUGCAGAUGGACAAAUGGAAUCGAGAACUACUCGACAAAUACUGCAGGGAAUACUCCGUUGGCAUAGUGGGUUUUGCUCCGCCAGGCGAAGAGAGUUUAGUCGGUGCUCAGGUGAAGGGUUUCCCGCUCUUCAUACACACCAACCUCAGGUUAAAGGACGCGCAACUUAACGCGGCAUCACCUAUACUCCGGUUAACCAGAGCCGGUGAGACUGCGUGGGGACCACUUCCGGGUGGUGAUUGGACUAUUUUUCACGCUAAUCACAGCACGUACGAGCCGUUGGCCUGGGCGUACAGAGACACCUUGGAUUAUCCGACGAAGAAAACCCCGCUGGAAACCGUUGUACAGGAUCAUGGACGCUACGACGGUAUCCAGAGGGUGCUUUUCGGGGGAGGUCUUCGUUUCUGGCUCCACAAAUUGCUGCUUCUCGAUUCGUUGUCGUACCUAUCUCACGGUCAGCUGAGUCUCAGCCUUAACCGGAUGAUAUUGGUGGACAUUGACGAUAUAUUUGUCGGUGAAAAAGGGACGAGAUUGAAGAAGGACGACGUUCUCGCCUUACUUGCCACCCAGCAAAGGAUUCAGGCUCUCGUGCCGGGGUUCAAAUUCAACUUGGGGUUUUCAGGGAAAUACUUUCACCACGGUACGACGGAGGAGAAUUACGGCGACGAUAUGAUUCUCGAAAACGUCGACAGAUUUACGUGGUUUUCCCACAUGUGGAACCACCAACAACCCCACCUCUACGAGAAUGUAACGCAUCUACAGCUGGACAUGGCGUUGAACAAACAGUUCGCUAAAGAGCACGGUAUCCCAACUGGGAGUGGUUACAGUGUCAGUCCGCAUCACUCGGGAGUUUAUCCGGUUCACGAGGGUCUCUACGAGGCUUGGAAAAAGGUGUGGAACAUCAAAGUUACAAGCACUGAAGAAUAUCCUCAUUUAAAGCCCGCGAGGCUCAGGAGGGGCUUCAUUCACCGGAAUAUCAUGGUUCUGCCAAGACAGAUAUGUGGUUUGUUCACUCAUACGAUAUUCAUAGAGCGGUAUCCCGGGGGAAGAGAUAAGCUGGACGAAUCCAUACAAGGAGGGGAAUUGUUUCAAACUAUCGCCUACAAUCCUAUCAAUAUUUUCAUGACGCAUAUGUCGAAUUAUGGGAACGACCGAUUGGCACUAUACACCUUCGAAUCGGUGAUAAAGUUCAUUCAGUGUUGGACCAAUUUGCGACUAUCCAGUGCACCGCCGUUACAGUUAGGCGAGAAAUAUUUCCAGCUUUAUCCAGAAGAGGCAGAUCCUAUCUGGGGUAAUCCAUGCGACGAUCCAAGACACCAGAAAAUAUGGUCUCGUAACAAGACCUGCGACCAACUACCAAGGUUCCUUGUUAUUGGUCCACAAAAAACUGGAACCACUGCACUUUACACGUUUCUAUCCAUCCACCCGGCUAUCAGCAGUAAUCUUCCCACUCCCGAUACCUUCGAAGAGAUCCAAUUCUUCAAUGGAAAGAAUUAUUACAGAGGACUGGAUUGGUACAUGGGCUUCUUUCCCGUUGCUAAGAACGAUAGCGCACGUUACCUUUUCGAAAAAUCCGCAACAUACUUUGACGGAGAGCUAGUACCACGUAGAUCGCAAGCUCUUCUACCUCGAGCUAAAUUGAUUACCAUUUUACUGUCACCUGCGAGGAGGGCAUAUUCGUGGUAUCAACACACUAGAGUCCACGGCGAUCCAGUAGCGAACAAUUACACGUUUCACAGCGUGAUCACAGCUAGUGACACAGCGCCAAAACCUCUCAGAGACUUGAGGAACAGGUGCUUGAAUCCUGGAAAAUAUGCCCAACAUUUGGAGAGGUGGUUGUCAUACUACCCACCGCAGCAGCUGCACAUCAUUGACGGAGAACAGCUGAGACACAAUCCAGUCGAGACGUUACACGAAUUGCAGAGAUUUUUAAAAAUAACACCAGCUUUUAAUUACUCUACUCACCUUAGGUAUGAUCCCAAAAAGGGAUUUUUCUGUCAAGUGACAAACGAGGACCAUACCAAAUGCCUUGGGAAAAGCAAGGGGCGGCAGUAUCCACCUAUGGAGGAUAGGUCUUAUAAAUUACUGCAGAGGUACUAUCUGUCGCACAACACGGCUUUGGUGAAGCUUUUCAAACGACUUGGAUCGAGAACAAUUCCACAAUGGUUGAAGGAUGAUCUCACGGAUACAGUGAUGACCUAACCAACUGCUGUUGCUAUCGACGUAAUUUGUCAAUCGUCGCUUCCAUGGAAGCACACCUGUACAUUGCUCCGGCAGAUCUCUGAAGAAGAACUAAGACGAUCUCUUGGAAUUCGUAUUGACUCGAGGGACGUAAGUUAUCACGAUUCAAAACAUUUCUAAGAAUACCUGUAUGAAAUUUUGACACUAUCAUGAAUUUUUCUAUGUUUACUUUAGGCUAAUUUUAUUUUAUUGAAAAUGUACUUUCAUCGACGUGGCUAUAGAUUCUCUGUUUUUUUAUCAACUUACGCACCAUAGUCCUAUAUAAUGAGUUCAUAUAAUGAAUGUACCUACGGGUGAGAUGAAAAAAACUUUCGGAAACAGUGUAUAAUUAUUUUCGUCGAAUCUGUUUAGACAAUGCAAAAGAGAGACGAUAAACAUCAAAUGUGUCUAUGUAUAUUUUGAGAAUACUGUUACGAGUAACGGAAUUUAAAUGAACCUAAUUGGAUCACGUCCGUUUGUAGAUUUGGUGUGAUAUGCUAUUUUGAUGUGAAAAUAGAUGAAUUGUGUUGAACGAAAAUUGUAUAUAAAUUAAAUAUUCAGAUUCAUUACGUUACCUUAUAUGCGCACCUUAACAUCUUUCAAUUGUGAAUUUUAAGAUAAAAAAAGGGCCCCACCGCGUCCUUCGAUCAUUUUCUUGAAAUCCUAAUUUGCAAAAUAUCAAUCGAUUGGUGUAAGCCCGAUGUUAUUUGAUUAAUGAACACCCAGAGGUGGUCUAAGUGACCAAAAAAAUGCUCCAAAGCAAUGUCAAUGAUUGUGUAUAUAACUGAUUUCUACAACGUACCAGUGUCAAACAGUGCUUGACGAUUAUUAUUAAUAAGCAGAAGUCAAAAUUUUGAUAUAAUUUUGUAAAAAGAAAUCCAAAAGAAAGUGAAACUUCAUAUAUGAACGUAAAAAUCUUAGCAGUACGCACGUUGCGACAGAAAUUCUACUUAAAACUCUGACGUAUACUCUUCAAAUUUCUACUGUAUUUUCUUUCUCCUGUAUUCCGUUUUUUCCAACGCACAGACGUGAAUGAUGCGAUGGCGUUCGCAUAUUUUUUAUGCAAACAGUUAAAUUUUAUAUUUAGUCGAUACAAAUAUACGAUUAAAGUGAUAGAUUUUUAUUUUUAUUCUUACUAAUCAACGGUACAUUGAAUUUUAGCAUAUACUUUUAAUAGAGAUUAUUUUAAUGAUAUAUUUUUAUUGUUAUUUUGUAUAUUAUUUUACUUUGUUUUUCACCGUUAUCUAACGGUAAUGUUUAACGAAUCAUGUACAAAGUUAAGUGUUGAUACUCUAUUAUUAUCUGUUAAUUAAAUGUGCCAUUUUACUGGUGUUGUAAAUAUCAAAUUAGCCUGAUCGAUUAUAUAGGAUGGAUAAUAAAUAAUAUAGUAUGUUGUUUCAUGUGGUAAAUCGCGGCGGUGAAGUCGAUAAUCAAAACUCUUGGAGACUUGUUCGGUUGAUUGGUCUAUUGAUUCUAUCGGCUGACAAUAAAAUUUGAAAUCAAUUUAUAAAACCACACGAACAAAUAUAUACAUUUUUAUUUUUCCAGUCAUACUAACUUGUGCAUAAUUUAUGUAUAUUGUAUGUGUACAUACGUAACAGGGAAUUACAUUGCCGAGAAUUGAUGUACACAUUGAAAAAUUGCAAAAAAUCACGAGAGAAAAAUGAUACCAUAUACAAUUGGUGUACAACAUUAUAAUAGGAUUCUCAUUAUCAAACUUAUAAAAAUACAAUAAUGUUAAUAAUAAUUCUAUUGUAAAAUAAUGUAAUGAAUGUACGAAUAGUCGAUAAGUUCUGAUAAAAGUAAUAAUCAAAAA
RNAcentral lists this unclassified non-coding RNA (7233 nucleotides) under Neodiprion pinetum (white pine sawfly). RNAcentral's name for it is "n-deacetylase and N-sulfotransferase sfl". The record is from RNAcentral. Lineage: Eukaryota; Metazoa; Arthropoda; Insecta; Hymenoptera; Diprionidae.